CCUUAGAGUUUGAUCCUGGCUCAGGACGAACGCUGGCGGCGCGCCUAACACAUGCAAGUCGAACGAGCGAGAGAGAGCUUGCUUUCUCGAGCGAGUGGCGAACGGGUGAGUAACGCGUGAGGAACCUGCCUCAAAGAGGGGGACAACAGUUGGAAACGACUGCUAAUACCGCAUAAGCCCACAGUGCCGCAUGGCACAGAGGGAAAAGGAGCAAUCCGCUUUGAGAUGGCCUCGCGUCCGAUUAGCUAGUUGGUGAGGUAAUGGCCCACCAAGGCGACGAUCGGUAGCCGGACUGAGAGGUUGAACGGCCACAUUGGGACUGAGACACGGCCCAGACUCCUACGGGAGGCAGCAGUGGGGAAUAUUGCACAAUGGGGGAAACCCUGAUGCAGCGACGCCGCGUGGAGGAAGAAGGUCUUCGGAUUGUAAACUCCUGUUGUUGAGGAAGAUAAUGACGGUACUCAACAAGGAAGUGACGGCUAACUACGUGCCAGCAGCCGCGGUAAAACGUAGGUCACAAGCGUUGUCCGGAAUUACUGGGUGUAAAGGGAGCGCAGGCGGGAAGACAAGUUGGAAGUGAAAUCCAUGGGCUCAACCCAUGAACUGCUUUCAAAACUGUUUUUCUUGAGUAGUGCAGAGGUAGGCGGAAUUCCCGGUGUAGCGGUGGAAUGCGUAGAUAUCGGGAGGAACACCAGUGGCGAAGGCGGCCUACUGGGCACCAACUGACGCUGAGGCUCGAAAGUGUGGGUAGCAAACAGGAUUAGAUACCCUGGUAGUCCACACCGUAAACGAUGAUUACUAGGUGUUGGAGGAUUGACCCCUUCAGUGCCGCAGUUAACACAAUAAGUAAUCCACCUGGGGAGUACGACCGCAAGGUUGAAAC
Molecule: ribosomal RNA, 883 nt
Filed under: uncultured bacterium
Lineage: Bacteria
Description: bacterial SSU rRNA
Rfam family: Bacterial small subunit ribosomal RNA
Source: RNAcentral